UACGAAGGGGGCUAGCGUUGUUCGGAAUCACUGGGCGUAAAGGGCGCGUAGGCGGCCGAUCAAGUCAGGCGUGAAAGCCCCGGGCUCAACCUGGGAACCGCGCUUGAGACUGGAGAACUAGAGUUCGGGAGAGGAUGGUGGAAUUCCCAGUGUAGAGGUGAAAUUCGUAGAUAUUCGGAAGAACACCAGUGGCGAAGGCGACUUACUGGACAACUGUUGACGCUGAGGUGCGAAAGCGUGGGGAGCAAACAGG
RNAcentral lists this ribosomal RNA (253 nucleotides) under uncultured bacterium. RNAcentral's name for it is "partial 16S ribosomal RNA". It matches the Rfam family "Bacterial small subunit ribosomal RNA", at positions 524 to 776 of the family's 1533-position model. The record is from RNAcentral.